GAUGAACGCUGGCGGCGUGCUUAACACAUGCAAGUCGAACGAUGAAGCCGAAGCUUGCUUUGGUGGAUUAGUGGCGAACGGGUGAGUAACACGUGAGUAACCUGCCCCUGACUCUGGGAUAAGCCUGGGAAACUGGGUCUAAUACCGGAUAUGACUGCGGAACGCAUGUUUUGUGGUGGAAAGAUUUAUCGGUUGGGGAUGGACUCGCGGCCUAUCAGCUUGUUGGUGAGGUAAUGGCUCACCAAGGCGACGACGGGUAGCCGGCCUGAGAGGGUGACCGGCCACACUGGGACUGAGACACGGCCCAGACUCCUACGGGAGGCAGCAGUGGGGAAUAUUGCACAAUGGGCGAAAGCCUGAUGCAGCGACGCCGCGUGAGGGAUGACGGCCUUCGGGUUGUAAACCUCUUUCAGUAGGGAAGAAGCGAGAGUGACGGUACCUGCAGAAGAAGCGCCGGCUAACUACGUGCCAGCCGCCGCCGUAA
Molecule: ribosomal RNA, 484 nt
Filed under: uncultured bacterium
Lineage: Bacteria
Description: partial 16S ribosomal RNA
Rfam family: Bacterial small subunit ribosomal RNA
Source: RNAcentral